This 301-nucleotide ribosomal RNA is filed under the name uncultured bacterium. RNAcentral's name for it is "partial 16S ribosomal RNA". It matches the Rfam family "Bacterial small subunit ribosomal RNA", at positions 509 to 809 of the family's 1533-position model. The record is from RNAcentral.
CAGUAGCCGCGGGAAUACGGAGGGAGCUAGCGUUGUUCGGAAUCACUGGGCGUAAAGCGCACGUAGGCGGCUAUUCAAGUCAGGGGUGAAAGCCCGGGGCUCAACCCCGGAACUGCCUUUGAAACUAGAUAGCUUGAAUCUUGGAGAGGCGAGUGGAAUUCCGAGUGUAGAGGUGAAAUUCGUAGGUAUUCGGAAGAACACCAGUGGCGAAGGCGACUCGCUGGACAAGUAUUGACGCUGAGGUGCGAAAGCGUGGGGAGCAAACAGGAUUAGAUACCCCCGUAGUCCCUGUCUCUUAUAA